UUGCGAGUGAACGGAGAUUAGCCCAUCCCCUGAAGUCUAUCCGCGUUUGUGGAACAGGACAAUGUGGUGUUUAGGCGUGCAUCUGGGAGCGCUUGCCUACCCGAAGUCCACCUCUGAUUUUGGCUUGGACAUUGCCCUGAGCGGGUGAAAGGCCCGUGCGGGUAGGCAUUGAUUGCAAUAAGCGAUCCUCAGAUAUGCAUGCUGUCGAGUCGGAUUGCUUGAGAAUGCAGUCCAAAGUGGGUGGUAAACUCCAUCCAAGGCUAAAUACUGGCACGAGUCCGAUAGUAGACAAGUACCGUGAGGGAAAGUUGAAAAGUACUCUGAAGAGAGAGUAAAUAGCACGUGAAGCCGCUUGCAGGGAAGCUGGUGGAGUCAAGCUUCAUGCCUGGAGGAUUGUCAUCAGAGGAUUGUUGUCUCGGGACGUGGCGUUGGCUAACCUGGAAACGGUUUGAUGCACUCAGCCUGCAUUUCAAGUCGCUCUGGGUAGAGUGUUUGUGCUGGCGCCUAUUCUCCUACCCUUCCUGGUGUUUUAUCCCCCGUGGCAUACAUCACGGUCAAUAAU
This 562-nucleotide ribosomal RNA is filed under the name Dactylogyrus sp. t AT-2021. Its description in RNAcentral is "partial large subunit ribosomal RNA". It matches the Rfam family "Eukaryotic large subunit ribosomal RNA", at positions 87 to 568 of the family's 3401-position model. The record is from RNAcentral. Lineage: Eukaryota; Metazoa; Platyhelminthes; Monogenea; Dactylogyridea; Dactylogyridae.